RNAcentral lists this non-coding RNA (135 nucleotides) under pig gut metagenome. RNAcentral describes it as "Moco (molybdenum cofactor) riboswitch". It matches the Rfam family "Molybdenum/Tungsten riboswitch aptamer (Moco RNA motif)", at positions 13 to 119 of the family's 135-position model. The record is from RNAcentral.
CUGAUUACCGAGCUUGUUCGCCUAAGUUAUGACACAACAAAAAUAAUAGGGUGGCCAUGCCAGCAAAUGACUUUAUUUGCUCAGGGAUGUACUGGAAACGGUGGGUCCUUCCGUAUUUGAAAAGGUAUCUAUGCA